UAGGAGAUUAUAAGUCUAGAUGCCUGC
RNAcentral lists this non-coding RNA (27 nucleotides) under Homo sapiens (human). The record is from RNAcentral. Lineage: Eukaryota; Metazoa; Chordata; Mammalia; Primates; Hominidae.